AUGGCUAUACCUGCAGCAUAUGGAAGUUCCUGGGCCAGAGACUGAAUCGAUGCAGCAGUUGCGACCUAUAUACACCACAGGUCCAGUAAAGCCAGAUCCUUUUAAACUACUGCACUGGGCCGGGGAUCAAACCCAUACCUCUGGAGUGACCCAAGCCACCGCAGCUGGAUCCUUAACUCACUGCACCACAGUGGGAACUCCUCUCUUGCUUUUCCUGAAAGUUACACCGAGGUAGGAUCUCUCAACUCUAGAGGGGAGGGGAGGCUCGUUUUUCAGCUUUGUAAAAAUGCCACUGUGCUCUCUUUUAUCUUAUUUGUUUCUUCCUCUCAAUCUUAUGUCUCUAACAUUCAUCCAGGUUGUUGCCUGUACUUACUGCCUAGGGUUCUAUUCUAUGCAAUUGUUCUUCUAUUGAAGGAAAACGGGAUGAUUUUCAAUGACCUGGUUUGGGAGGAGUUGUUUGGCGUUGAGAAAGAGAAUGUUAUGACAUUAUUAUCUAUGUGUCCUGAUGCAUAUGAAGAAGAGUUUUUCCCAGGGUACACACGAAGAGCGGAACUGAAGAGGGGUGAAGAGCCUGGAGAUGGAGUCCAAUGUGAGCCUUUUGAUUAUUAAGAGAGUCUCUUUUGCCAGCUCCAAAGAAGCUGCCUUGUUGCCUUGGCAGAAUUUAUUUUCCAAACUCCAUUCAGGGACUUUCUACUUCAGGACUUCCUGAACAAGAGCUGUUCAGCCAAAGUUCAUCUCUCACGCUCACACAGAGGGGGUGGUUUUAGAAAGAGAAAGCCCUUUGGUUUGAAGCGCGGCUCUUCCAUGGACUAACAAUGACGUUGGACAAAUCUUGUUUACCUCACAGGACAGCGCUGAAAAAUACCCAGGAAACGUCAUUACAGUUGAGAUGUUCAGGGUUAGGGCAUCCAAGGAAGUAGAAUGAGAAGCACGUUCUAGACUCCUUAGGACAUGACGAAAGGGCCAGAACACAAGGGCAUCCAAAGGACGCUCUAAGCCUCACCAAGGUGUCCUCUGUGCCUCUGACAGUGCCCUGGUGACCAUCCUUCCACAUCUCAGAUGGCUCUGGACUCAAAUACCCGGUCAGCGGGACCAACGGAAAGGGAGGAAGAGAAACAACUCACUGAGGGGAUCUUAUGAUCUCCCCCAAGAGAAGGUAAGUUUCUCUUGCUCUGAAUUCUUGCUUUUUUUUUUUAAGAGAUGAAAGUUUUUCUCUAAUCUCCUCCUCAAUCUUGAUUUAUUUUUCCCAGAGGAUGCAUGCACCAGACACACCCACCUUUUUGGCCUCAAAGAGACUGCUCCUCCCUGGACCAGACAAUUCUUGAGGUAGCAAGGGGCCCAGCAUGCCUCUGAUUUGCAAACAAAGCCAACCAGAACCUUCCUCCCUCCAUCAGGUCCACACAUCCCCAGAGGUGAUGUUCUUCUGGCUUAAUGGUCCAGGGCCAGGUAUGAGGCAGCUAGGGGCCAUCCCCAUAGCCCAAAGCCCACCAAAAUUAUUCAAAGUACAGUCCCAGGCUGUUUACUCUUGCCUUCAGAAACCCCAGUAAAGGCUGUGGUCUCAGAGUUCCCCCUGCUCCUGUCCUCUGCCUCCUGACCACUCUGGUGUCUUUCCUACAUGGUCUCAUGUGCCAUGCCUUCUGUCUCUGGCACCUGUGGGGUAAUAACAUUUGUUUUUUUGAGCCUCUCUGUGCCUCCUCUUAUAGCUGCACUUGACUGACCAGCUCAGAAAAGAAUAGAAAACCGUUGUUGAGAAUUUAUCAUGACUCCCGUCCUUAUGUUACCAAUGAGCAAACUGGGGUGGGUGUGUGCUGCAGGAGUCUCUUGAAUCUUAAACCUCCUUUGCUUUAAUAAUGGAACAAACUACUUACGCCUGUGUUAUGAUGCCACUCACCUCCACCCAGAAAGAAAUGUGAGCAGCUCCCAAAGGCAAGAGGAGACAGACUGACAUGUUCUGGGUGGUUCUUCGUUUCAGGACACUCUAAGCUUCCUGUGAGGCUCCCCAGGAAGGGAGGGCCUUGGCUAGUUUAUGGCUUGGGUCCCCACAUUUAGUGUCUCCCUCUGACCCAAAGCCUCAACACCUUUACCUGUCAAAGGGACAUUACAGCAGGUAACUAUUAAAAAACACAACAAUCAUUACAACUAAUUACAGCUUUUACAACUACUUUGAAGAUCUGAGAUGAAAGACACUUCAUGAAGGCAGAUAUGGUGACAGGUGAGCCAUACAAUUAAUUAAACAAUCUUGUGCAUAAUCACAGGCAGAGUGAUCUUCAAGAGCCAUGAGGCUGGGUUGAGGCAGCUCCCAGGCCCUUCCCAUGGGCUGACGGUCAAGAGUAUCUUUCAUCUCUCUUCAUUAAACUCCUCACACCUAAGGCUCCCUGAGCUUGCCCCUCCUCUGCAAAAUAAGGGCAGCACCAGUACGCAGCUCAGGGGCCUUUCGUCCACACAAAAGCAUUGAGUUAAUUAGCAGGUCUAAUAGAAAGUGUUUUCAAGGCCUCACUUUGAAUACUGGCUCUUAUUAGCUCUUAGUUCUGAGCAAAUCUUAAUCUCUCCUAGUCUUAUUUUCCUCAUCUCUAAAAUGGGGUAAUUAUCUUACCUAACCUUGUUGGAGGUACUGCUGAUUAAACAAGAAAUUAGCACAAUGCCCGACACGUGGUCAGUGUUCACUACAUGAAAGUCAUUGUCACUGACAUAUUGCAGGUAACUGGCCCUUUCUUCGAACAUGGUUAAGCAACUUGUCCACGGUUGUCUGCAGCCUUUCCUCUAGGCUGGAGACAGUCACAAUGUAUAUCUCUGUAAAUAAAAUAAGCCUCUUUUUGUGCAGAUGAAACUGGGUGGGUGGAUAUUCACCAGACUUGGAAGGUGUCUUUAGAUCUGGCUUAAAAUAAAGGCUAAGUAGUAGAUAGGAUUCCAUAGGGGCUGUGGCUAUAUCGAUAGGCAAGCAUCUUCCAGAGCAGCUAAAACUGAGAUAACAGUGUCUGGUCCACAUGGCUCACUGAUUAGGAAAGUAGUUCAUGAUCUAUGAUGCCAUGUAAGAGGAGGGGCAGGGGGAGAGAAAGAGAGAGAGAGGGAAGAUAAAGAUAAAGACAGCUGUCUUUGGGGCAGGUAUGGUCUAAGAUGGUGCGCUUUUUUACUGGGGCAACUCCAUAUGGUUAGAGAAGCAGCUGUAGGAGUUAUUUAUUUCAUAAUGAUGAAUGAUGAUGCUUAGCAGCUCAUAUUCUAAGUAGCCAGAUUCCUCGAUUUGGUUCCUGGGUUACAUAUGCUAAGAGACCAUGGAGAAGAGGAUCCAGUGGCCUUGACCCUGUGCUAAUCCCAUGCUCCCCUGCAGCAUGUGGAAGAAAACCAGGAUGUGUAGGGGAACAGCAAGAAGAAGGUCAAUGAGUAACACUGCUACUCUUAUGAGGAGCACAGCAGGGACCCCAGCACUCCCAGGUGAUGGUGCAUCCAGCCCACGAAGCCUUUUUGCUUUCACAUGUCUCUUGGCUCAUGGGAGGAAGUGUGAAAGCUGCUUUAUUCUCCCCACUUGACAGACAUGGCAACUGAGGUUCAAGGAGGCUGAGGGCCAUCCUCGAGUCACUCAAGGUGGCCUGCCCUGGGCCAACUGGUCCCACAGGAUGUGUCAUGUCAAGGGUCAACAAAUGGACCUGAUGGGACACAGAAACAGUACAGUGACUUGGGAGUAGGGUCUAGGUGCGUGAGGGAGGCAGGGAGGGAGUGUGGUCUGAAGCCCACUGUUCUUAGGCAAGAAGAAGGUGACGAAAUGACCUUUUGCCUUCCUUGAUCUGAGAAGCAGCCCCAGCUCUCAGAUCCCAGUGGAUCUGCCUUCUUGGUGGUCACUAACCAUGCUUCAAGGCAGCAGAGAGUGCUCCUGAGUUGGCACCUUGGGGUUGGGUCUCCAAGGCCAGGGCCCAGAACCUUGGCUCCAGUGAGCACCUUGCAGGUCUUGGAGGAAAUGGCAGCAUCGACGAGGCAGGGGACCUCGGAUCUUACCUGCUGUGAUGGGUGGCCAGGAAGAGAAUUUUUGAGUGGCUUUUGGGAAACAAACAACCCGUCCCAAAGGGAGUUUGUGACAAGAAUCCUAAUCACUGUUUAUGAAGCACCUACUACACAUCUUUACUUUAGAUCCUUUUCUACUCCUCCCACAAGACUCUGAGGGACACAAUAGCUCAAAUGAUGGGUACCUACUUUUCAUGCCUUCUCUCAUUAAAUCCUAAAUUCCCAAUGCUGUAUGUAUUAUUACCCUAAUUAUUAAACGGAAGAUCAAACCAUCACAUGUAACGUGCACAGACUCACACAGGCAAUGACAGAGCUGGGAUUCUGACUCAGGGCUGGGUGUCAUCACCAAGCCACUCUUUCGACUGGAAUCUCCUGGACUAGGUUGUCCUACCUUAUCCCCUAGCAUAUUUGCCUCCAGAUUCUGACUCACCUGGAAGAGCAUGCAUAUGGGGUGCUCAUUUAUGAAACAAGGUCAUGGUAAAGGGAUAAAGACAAAGGCGAGCAGGACGAACAGCCCCCAGCCAAGGAGAAGGCUUGUGUCAGUCAUGGUCAGGUCCAGCCCUGCAACCUGCAGCCGAGACACUGGGCUGGAUGGAUCUCAGGCAGGCUCAGCUUCUGCAAGGGGGCAGAGGGACUCUGCAAAGCUCAAAACAGAAAUACACAACCUGCUCCUCAACCGGUCAUCAGCAUUAACUGAAACGCUGCAGGUAAAAGUCUACACAGGCCCUGGGAUAGAGGCACUUGGCCCUUAGGGAAUGCCUGGUGUAGCGUGGAGAUGACCAAGAGACUGGUUUUCACUCUUUGGCCCUUUCUGGGCAAGGAUAAGACCACCCAGCCCUUUGGCAGCAGGGUCUAACUCCAGCCCUCCCAAGCCAGAGACCCUCCUGGGACACAUGCGAUAGGGAAGGGAAUUUGAAAGAGCAGUUCUUAUCCCAUUUCUGCUCCUGAAGUCAGGUCUGAGCUGCCUGUCUGAGGAGGCCAGUUUUAGCCCAUAAAAAUACAAAAAGACCAGUUAAAUUUAAAUUUCAAGUAAACAACAUGGACUUUUCUGAUUUAAGUGUGACCCAGUGCCUAUCCUCGCGUCUGUGUUGUAGGCACACGUUCCUCUGGUUGGCUGUUCUUGGCAGAGGGGAAGCCCUGCAAGAGGCUCAGACCCUGGAUGUGCCUGGCACCAUCCUCUCUGGAGACCUGAACCCAGCCAAGGAGACACAAGUGGCUCCAGGAGGACCCAGCAUCAGUCCUCUUCCCUGAGUAGGGACAGAUGGGCGAACUGGAUGCUGCAGAUGUUGGCGCAGAUGAGAAAGACCAGGUGUCUCCUGGGGAAGGGCCUAAUGUGAUGUCAAGUGCUGCCAUCCCAGGCCUUAAUGGAAGGAGCUGCUCCUAAGUGGGUCUUUCCCACAAAGCAUUUCCUUUUCUCUCUCCCUCCCCUCCUCUUCUCCCUCAGCUUCCUUCUUCCCCUCUUCCCUCCCUUAUGGAACCUAAGGCAGCGAGUGGCUCUCAAUCAGGCCAAGUGUGCAUCCAGUUCCUGUGGCCACCACGGAAGGCUGAGUGCUGCACAGGGAGCCCCUUGGUGGCUGUGUUGUGCCUUCUGCCACCCUGGCUGUGAGGGCCUGGCCCAGGCCCACUCUCCCAGGACAUUCCUCCCGGCCCUGUGCAGGCACAGCUGUCAGGAUGGGCAGGCCCUCACCUGAGGGCCUCGCCUGGAUCCCGGCACACCUUGCCCCCAUUGCCCAAGGACUGGCAGCAGAUCAAAGAGCUCUGGUUAGAACAACAUUUGGCAGCCAGAGGUGGCUCAGCAAAAUGAUCCUGGCCUGCGUGCAGGAGCUGAGCCUCCUGGAGUGCGGCGUGUAAAGCCUCCAUGGCUUCUGUCUGCGGCCGAGCCCUGGUAUCAGCCCCCCUCGCAACCUCAGUCCCCCCUAGUCAAGUCCUUCCAUCCUGGUGCUGCAGGAGCCUUCAUGAGCAUUGGCACCUGGAGUGUGCAGCCUGGCCUGUGUGCUGUGCCUCCUGCCCUGAAGCAAAAUAUCAGCAAGCAAGGCUACCAUUUCAACACAGCA
RNAcentral lists this long non-coding RNA (6047 nucleotides) under Sus scrofa (pig). RNAcentral's name for it is "lncRNA (ENSSSCG00060027313.1)". The record is from RNAcentral. Lineage: Eukaryota; Metazoa; Chordata; Mammalia; Artiodactyla; Suidae.